Molecule: ribosomal RNA, 622 nt
Filed under: Gammaproteobacteria bacterium
Lineage: Bacteria; Pseudomonadati; Pseudomonadota; Gammaproteobacteria
Description: bacterial SSU rRNA
Rfam family: Bacterial small subunit ribosomal RNA
Source: RNAcentral
UGCCGCGUGUGUGAAGAAGGCCUUCGGGUUGUAAAGCACUUUUGUUCGGGAAGAAAUCGUGCGGAUUAAUACUCUGCGCGGAUGACGGUACCGAAAGAAUAAGCACCGGCUAACUUCGUGCCAGCAGCCGCGGUAAUACGAAGGGUGCAAGCGUUACUCGGAAUCACUGGGCGUAAAGCGUGCGUAGGCGGUUGGUUAAGUCUGCUGUGAAAGCCCUGGGCUCAACCUGGGAACUGCAGUGGAUACUGGCUAGCUAGAGUGUGAUAGAGGAUGGUGGAAUUCCCGGUGUAGCGGUGAAAUGCGUAGAGAUCGGGAGGAACACCAGUGGCGAAGGCGGCCAUCUGGAUCAACACUGACGCUGAGGCACGAAAGCGUGGGGAGCAAACAGGAUUAGAUACCCUGGUAGUCCACGCCCUAAACGAUGCGAACUGGACGUUGGUUGCAACUUGGCAAUCAGUGUCGAAGCUAACGCGUUAAGUUCGCCGCCUGGGGAGUACGGUCGCAAGACUGAAACUCAAAGGAAUUGACGGGGGCCCGCACAAGCGGUGGAGUAUGUGGUUUAAUUCGAUGCAACGCGAAGAACCUUACCUGGCCUUGACAUCCACGGAACUUUCCAGAGAUG